This 424-nucleotide ribosomal RNA is filed under the name bacterium enrichment culture clone ALO1_GLFRUDD03GF8FA. Its description in RNAcentral is "bacterial SSU rRNA". It matches the Rfam family "Bacterial small subunit ribosomal RNA", at positions 9 to 433 of the family's 1533-position model. The record is from RNAcentral.
GAGUUUGAUCAUGGCUCAGAUUGAACGCUGGCGGCAUGCCUUACACAUGCAAGUCGAACGGCAGCACGGGAGCUUGCUCCUGGUGGCGAGUGGCGAACGGGUGAGUAAUGCCUAGGAAUCUGCCUGGUAGUGGGGGACAACGUUUCGAAAGGAACGCUAAUACCGCAUACGUCCUACGGGAGAAAGCAGGGGACCUUCGGGCCUUGCGCUAUCAGAUGAGCCUAGGUCGGAUUAGCUAGUUGGUGGGGUAAUGGCUCACCAAGGCGACGAUCCGUAACUGGUCUGAGAGGAUGAUCAGUCACACUGGAACUGAGACACGGUCCAGACUCCUACGGGAGGCAGCAGUGGGGAAUAUUGGACAAUGGGCGAAAGCCUGAUCCAGCCAUGCCGCGUGUGUGAAGAAGGUCUUCGGAUUGUAAAGCAC